GAUUAACGCUGGCGGCGUGCAUAACACAUGCAAGUCGAACGAUGAAACUCAUUAGAUUUCUUCGGAAUGAAAAUGAAUGGAUUAGUGGCGACCGGGUGAGUAACGCGUGAGUAACCUGCCUUACACAAGGGGAUAGCCUCUGGAAACGGAGAAUAAUACCCUAUGAAACCAGACAAUCGCAUGAUAAUCUGGUCAAAAUGUUUAGUGGUGUAAGAUGGACUUGCGUCUGAUUAGCUAGUUGGUGAGAUAAAAGCUCACCAAGGCAACGAUCAGUAGCCGGCUUGAGAGAGUGUACGGCCACAUUGGGACUGAGACACGGCCCAGACUCCUACGGGAGGCAGCAGUGGGGAAUUUUGCACAAUGGGGGAAACCCUGAUGCAGCGACGCCGCGUGAUUUAGAAGGCCUUCGGGUUGUAAAAAUCUUUUGUAUAGGAAGAAAAUGACAGUACUAUACGAAUAAGGUCCGGCUAAUUACGUG
Molecule: ribosomal RNA, 478 nt
Filed under: uncultured bacterium
Lineage: Bacteria
Description: partial 16S ribosomal RNA
Rfam family: Bacterial small subunit ribosomal RNA
Source: RNAcentral